Papaver somniferum (opium poppy) is the source of this 1521-nucleotide long non-coding RNA. RefSeq lists it as uncharacterized. The record is from RefSeq and is a predicted model, not a curated record. The transcript has 2 exons. NCBI's taxonomy places the organism in Eukaryota, Viridiplantae, Streptophyta, Magnoliopsida, Ranunculales, Papaveraceae.
UUUCUCUACUUCACAAAAUUUCUCAAUCGAGCUGGUGGUGUUGAGCACCAACAUUACCGACGGUGGAUAACGGAAAUAGAGACGGCAAAGAGUGGCGUUGGAAUUCAGUUUCUUCUCGCGAAAUCAGCAAAGUCAGUUCUUGAAGGUGCUGUCAGAUUCAAUGUUUUGGGCGUUCAAACAACUGAAGAAUGGAUGGGCCAUGAGGUGAAUUCAUUCAUGAUUUCAACAUCAGCAACAAAUGGAAUUUGGAGGUUUGGCAUGGAUCAAUUUAUAGGAUUCGUAUGUUGGGUUUGAAUUGAAUAUCUUAAUUGUGGACAAGUACAACAACAACGGUACCAGAUCGUGAAAUUAGGUCAACAAUGGAACUGAAAUUUGGGGGUUUUGUGAUUCAAGUUUGGGUCUUAAUGGAGGAAGAAAAGUACAGUCAGUUGUGGUGUUGUCUGGUACCUUGAAUGGGUUUGGUCUGUAACCUGAUCUUGAGUAGAUGGAUGUUGUAUGGGUGAUGUUUCAGUCGUACAAGGAGAUGAUUUUUGCUGUCAUGGCCGAGAACUAGAAGGGUUAAGAGCUCAAUUGAAAUGGUGCUGGUGAUGAUGGCAUCUGGGCAGUUUUCAGCCGUGAAACGGUGGCUGUACAGAUCUUGGAAGUGAAUGAAGCUGAGUUUAAUUUGGAGAUUUUAUAUAUCUGAAAUUGGAUCUUAAUACUGGCAGCAAAGGCAUGAAUGGUGAUUGAAUUGAGUAAUGAUGGGUUUCUGCUUUUGAAAUAAGAUUUGAGAUUGGGGGUUUAUCCCAUGGACAGAGUUUGAAUCAAUUCGAUUGUACAACAACAACAACAACAACAGAUGGAUUGGGGUUUGUUAAUAUGAAAUUUUAUUGUUUGUGCUUCAACUAUGCUGGUGUGUUGGUUUAGAUGGUGCAACCAGUGGGAGACGAGUGAAUUCAGAUUGCAGCUCUUGUAUCUCGGCUAAGAAGCAAGUUGUGGUUUGUCUGUUGGAUGUUGAUGGGUUACAUGGAAUGGAAUGAGGCCGUAAUUAAGGCUCAACAACCGAUUUCAGCUGGUGUGAGCAGAAAUAUGUGGAAGACGUUACAGCUAUAUGGAGUGCUUUCCCCUAAUCCAGGAAGUGUUUGAAUCAAGUAGUUAGAGAAGAAGUCAAGUUGUUGAUGUAUAAAGGAUGAGCUUAAUCAACCAAGAAGGAAAUAUCUAAUGGCUAUCUACACAACAAUGAGACGCUAAACCUCUCUUUGCCAAGAUAAGAGGGGACACUUAAUGGGUUCAAUGUUCUUAAGUUAUCAUCAAUAAGUCUUUUUAAAUGCUUAAUCCAUUUCAUCUUUGUUUGAUUACUAUUUUGUGUUGAGUGUGUCUAUAAACUUCUUAGAUUUAGUGUGAUUUUCGGAUACAUUGAAUGUUAUGAAAUCCCUGUGACAUUUCUCAACAGGGCUUUAUAUUUAGAACAUAAUAUCAAUCUUUAUGUAAUGGUACUUUUAGUUACACUCAGAAAUUUAUAUGUCUUAUCUUUCGGGUAGA